GCGUAGAAGCUUCUGAUGGUGGGUCUGUUCGCCCUUUAAAAUCUAACAUGAGCUGAGUUCAGAACGGCGUGAGCUAGUUCAGUUUCUAUCCUCUUUUUAAAAUGAGCUAAUUUUGUACGAAAGGACUUUUUCGCUAAAGCAAUGCUUUGUCACAAAUCUGUGGUUGCAUAAAUAAUAGGGUAUAAUAGGUUGAUUAGCCUACAGGAAGGGUUA
This 213-nucleotide ribosomal RNA is filed under the name Mytilus edulis (blue mussel). Its description in RNAcentral is "partial 16S ribosomal RNA". The stretch from base 1 to 94 matches the Rfam family "Bacterial large subunit ribosomal RNA", at positions 2553 to 2646 of the family's 2925-position model. Lineage: Eukaryota; Metazoa; Mollusca; Bivalvia; Mytilida; Mytilidae. The record is from RNAcentral.